Molecule: unclassified non-coding RNA, 340 nt
Filed under: soil metagenome
Description: partial contains 5.8S ribosomal RNA, internal transcribed spacer 2, and large subunit ribosomal RNA
Rfam family: 5.8S ribosomal RNA (bases 1-120)
Source: RNAcentral
GAUGAAGAACGCAGCGAAAUGCGAUAAGUAGUGUGAAUUGCAGAAUUCAGUGAAUCAUCGAAUCUUUGAACGCACAUUGCGCCCUUUGGUAUUCCAAAGGGCAUGCCUGUUCGAGCGUCAUUUGUACCCUCAAGCUCUGCUUGGUGUUGGGCGUCUUGUCUCCAGUUUCGCUGGAGACUCGCCUUAAAGUCAUUGGCAGCCGGCCUACUGGUUUCGGAGCGCAGCACAAGUCGCGCUCUCGUCCAGCCAAGGUCAGCAAUCCACAAAGCCUUUUUUCAACUUUUGACCUCGGAUCAGGUAGGGAUACCCGCUGAACUUAAGCAUAUCAAUAAGCGGAGGA